Regulatory RNA element from Bacillus anthracis str. 'Ames Ancestor', 229 nucleotides. It matches the Rfam family "T-box leader". From Rfam's summary of the family: Uncharged tRNA acts as the effector for transcription antitermination of genes in the T-box leader family. T-boxes are found upstream of many aminoacyl-tRNA synthetase genes and some amino acid biosynthetic genes usually in Gram-positive bacteria. The anticodon of a specific tRNA base pairs to a specifier sequence within the T-box motif, and the NCCA acceptor tail of the tRNA base pairs to a conserved bulge in the T-box antiterminator hairpin. The record is from Rfam. Lineage: Bacteria; Bacillati; Bacillota; Bacilli; Caryophanales; Bacillaceae.
CGAAAAACGUUGAUAGAGAAGAGUAGCUUACAAAAUCGCCAUAUAGGGAGAGAAUGCCUUAGACUGAAAGCAUUCUUAUGGUAGACGGAAGUGAAUUCACCUCUGGAGUUGACGCCAGGACCAUGUAUAUGUAAAGGCGUUCCGGUCAGAAUUGAUCGUUAUAACUAAUGAGUGGGCAGACAUGUUCUGUCAAUUUAGGGUGGUACCGCGAAUUUACCUCGUCCCUUUU